Molecule: ribosomal RNA, 871 nt
Filed under: uncultured delta proteobacterium
Lineage: Bacteria; Deltaproteobacteria
Description: bacterial SSU rRNA
Rfam family: Bacterial small subunit ribosomal RNA
Source: RNAcentral
GCCUACACAUGCAAGUCGAACGCGAAAGGUCUUCGGACUGAUUGAGUGGCGCACGGGUGAGUAACACGUAGGUAAUCUACCCUUUGGCGGGGGAUAACGUUCCGAAAGGGACGCUAAUACCGCAUAAGACCACACGGGCUCCGGCUCGAGUGGGAAAAGGUGGCCUCUUCUUGAAAGCUACCACCGGAGGAUGAGCCUGCGUCCCAUCAGCUAGUUGGUAAGGUAAUGGCUUACCAAGGCGAAGACGGGUAGCUGGUUUGAGAGAAUGAUCAGCCACACUGGCACUGGAACACGGGCCAGACUCCUACGGGAGGCAGCAGUGAGGAAUAUUGGGCAAUGGGCGAAAGCCUGACCCAGCCACGCCGCGUGAGUGAUGAAGGCCUUCGGGUCGUAAAGCUCUGUGGAGAGGGACGAAAACCCUGGUUUCAAAUAGACUCCAGGCUUGACGGUACCUCUUUAGCAAGCACCGGCUAACUCUGUGCCAGCAGCCGCGGUAAUACAGAGGGUGCAAACGUUGCUCGGAUUUACUGGGCGUAAAGCGCGUGUAGGCGGGUUCGCAAGUCGGACGUGAAAUCCCUGGGCUCAACCCAGGAACUGCGUUCGAAACUGCGAAUCUAGAGUAGUGGAGAGGAAAGUAGAAUUCCCGGUGUAGAGGUGAAAUUCGUAGAUAUCGGGAGGAAUACCAGUGGCGAAGGCGGCUUUCUGGACACUUACUGACGCUGAGACGCGAAAGCGUGGGGAGCAAACAGGAUUAGAUACCCUGGUAGUCCACGCUGUAAACGAUGUGUGCUAGGUGUCGCGGAAUUUGACUUCUGCGGUGCCGUAGCUAACGCGUUAAGCACACCGCCUGGGGAGUACGGCCGCAAGGCUA